AACUUCUUCAAGUGUUUUGAAAACACUAAUCAGACUAAGUCUAGAAGUUU
This 50-nucleotide transfer RNA is filed under the name Metacrangonyx longicaudus. Its description in RNAcentral is "transfer RNA Serine". Lineage: Eukaryota; Metazoa; Arthropoda; Malacostraca; Amphipoda; Metacrangonyctidae. The record is from RNAcentral.